This 464-nucleotide ribosomal RNA is filed under the name Vreelandella stevensii. RNAcentral's name for it is "partial 16S ribosomal RNA". It matches the Rfam family "Bacterial small subunit ribosomal RNA", at positions 338 to 795 of the family's 1533-position model. Lineage: Bacteria; Pseudomonadati; Pseudomonadota; Gammaproteobacteria; Oceanospirillales; Halomonadaceae. The record is from RNAcentral.
CCUACGGGGGGCUGCAGUGGGGAAUAUUGGACAAUGGGGGCAACCCUGAUCCAGCCAUGCCGCGUGUGUGAAGAAGGCCCUCGGGUUGUAAAGCACUUUCAGUGAGGAAGAACGCCUGGUGGUUAAUACCCAUCAGGAAAGACAUCACUCACAGAAGAAGCACCGGCUAACUCCGUGCCAGCAGCCGCGGUAAUACGGAGGGUGCGAGCGUUAAUCGGAAUUACUGGGCGUAAAGCGCGCGUAGGUGGCUUGAUAAGCCGGUUGUGAAAGCCCCGGGCUCAACCUGGGAACGGCAUCCGGAACUGUCAAGCUAGAGUGCAGGAGAGGAAGGGAGAAUUCCCGGUGUAGCGGUGAAAUGCGUAGAGAUCGGGAGGAAUACCAGUGGCGAAGGCGGCCUUCUGGACUGACACUGACACUGAGGUGCGAAAGCGUGGGUAGCAAACAGGAUUAGAACCCGAGUAGUC